GGUGCGGCGGCGUGCUACUCUCCCACACCCUGUCGGGUGCAGUACCAUCGCCGUGCCAGGCCUUAGCUUCCGGGUUCGGAAUGGGACCGGGCGUCUCUCCUGGGCCAUGGCCGCCG
Molecule: ribosomal RNA, 116 nt
Filed under: Bifidobacterium bifidum
Lineage: Bacteria; Bacillati; Actinomycetota; Actinomycetes; Bifidobacteriales; Bifidobacteriaceae
Source: RNAcentral